Molecule: ribosomal RNA, 253 nt
Filed under: uncultured bacterium
Lineage: Bacteria
Description: partial 16S ribosomal RNA
Rfam family: Bacterial small subunit ribosomal RNA
Source: RNAcentral
UACGUAGGGUGCAAGCGUUAAUCGGAAUUACUGGGCGUAAAGCGUGCGCAGGCGGUGAUGUAAGCCAGUUGUGAAAUCCCCGGGCUCAACCUGGGAACUGCAUCUGUGACUGCAUCGCUGGAGUGCGGCAGAGGGGGAUGGAAUUCCGCGUGUAGCAGUGAAAUGCGUAGAUAUGCGGAGGAACACCGAUGGCGAAGGCAAUCCCCUGGGCCUGCACUGACGCUCAUGCACGAAAGCGUGGGGAGCAAACGGG